GUCUACGGCCAUACCACCCUGAACGCGCCCGAUCUCGUCUGAUCUCGGAAGCUAAGCAGGGUCGGGCCUGGUUAGUACUUGGAUGGGAGAAGGGGGCCUUACCGGAACACCAGCUCUUUUUCCU
RNAcentral lists this ribosomal RNA (124 nucleotides) under Myotis lucifugus (little brown bat). The record is from RNAcentral. Lineage: Eukaryota; Metazoa; Chordata; Mammalia; Chiroptera; Vespertilionidae.